This is an RNA transcript of Leptopilina boulardi, 5707 nucleotides long. It is a transcript of the gene named mediator of RNA polymerase II transcription subunit 24-like, with no coding region annotated. The transcript has 5 exons. The record is from RefSeq and is a predicted model, not a curated record. NCBI's taxonomy places the organism in Eukaryota, Metazoa, Arthropoda, Insecta, Hymenoptera, Figitidae.
CAAAGUCAUUUGCGACGCCAUAAUUACAGUCAUGUAUGAAAUUAUUAACAUUUUUUUCAUUUUCCAUUUCCAUUUUUUAUUAUUAUAUAAUAAAGGAACUCAAGCAGCACGGUGUAUCCCCUCAACAUCCCUUGAAUAUCACCGUGGAAUAUUCCAAUGAUUAUCUAAGAAAACCAAAAUAUAUAUAUAUAUCCAAGUAAUAUUGAGGGAAUAUUCCAGUGAUAUGGAUGAAAUAUUCCACGGUUAUAUUAAAUUAAAUUUUUUUAAUCUUCCUGAUUAUUUAAAUAACAAUUUAUAACACAAUUCCAUGAUUUCAACACUUUAAAAAAGUGGUUCAUUUAAUGACAAUAUUUAGCUUCCUCAUCUUGAUUAACAGAACUUAUACUAUUAGUUUUAAAAAAUUAAAAAUUUUCAUCUUUUGUGAAAAAUAAUGCCAGCAAUUCAAUUCUGACAAAAAUCAACUAAAAUUUUUAUAUAGGAAAAAGUUAUUUAAAAAAUUCAAUUAAAAAGUAAAGAGAAAUGUAAAAAAUAUCGAAUUAAAAAGAAAAAAAUUGACAAAGAUGGUCAGUUAAAAAAUAAAAUUAAAUGUAAGGAAUAUCGUAAAAGUAUUAAAAAAAAUUGAAAACGAUGUGAUGUUAAAAAUUAAAGAUGAGAAAAAUGAUAAACAAUUGCAAUCAAAAAAUAUGGAUAAAUGUAAAAGAUAUCGAAAAAUGAAAAAAAAAUUAAGAAUGAAGAAAUAAAAUUACAAAAUAUUGAAAAAUGUGAAGAAUAUCGAGAAAAUUGUAGAAAAAGAAAAUUAGAAGCCAAUAAUAAUAUUAAUUCAAAAUGUUUGAAGUUAGCAAAUAAUAUAGUAAUUUGUAAGAAUAAAGUUAAGACAACAAACAACAAAAAAACUUAAUGACUUAAUGACCAAAGAUGAAGAUAGAAUUACAGAAAGUUUUUAGGAAAUUUGGAUGUUAUUUGUUAAUUUUGUACAGCUAUGCAUUUUCUUUCAGAAAUGCCAGAGGAUAAAAAGUUUAGUACAUGUUGUCAUAAAGGCAAAGUUUUGUUAACUGAAGAUCCAUUACCCCAGGUAGAAUUAAAAGAAAUGGUUUGUGGUCAAACUGCAAUUAGUAAACAUUAUAAAAAAUGUAUAAGAAGCUACAACAAUACAAUAGCGUUCGCAACCUUUGUGCAACAUAUGCUUCUCGACAAAAUAAAGGUCCUCAAGUCUUUAAAAUUUGUUGUCAAAUUUACCAUAACACAUAUUCAUUACAUCCCAAAGAAAAUGAAUGCAGAAAGUAUGAUAAACUGUAUAUAAUUGACAAUGAAUUAGCUACACAAAGUCGUAAAGAUAUUAAUAAUAACUGCAGACAUGAUAUUUUAUGUAAUUUAGAUAAGUUGAUCAGAAAAAUUAACCCUUAUUCUAAAGCGUACAAAAUGAUGUACGAAGUAGAAAAAGAAGAACAAGAAUUUGCUACUAAUAAUAAUAAUCUACCUCGAGAAAUUAAAAUGAUUAUGAAAAGAGAUAUUAAUUUAGAUAAAAACCGAUAUAACUCUCCUGUUACAAAUGAAGUUGCUGUUGUAUUUGUUGAUGAAAAUGAUGAACCUUCAAUAAAACGCGAUUUUUGUGUAUAUUCUAAAUUUGAUAAACCAAUUAGCAUCUUUGUAAUAAGUAGACAUGUAGAUCCAAUGACAUAUCCUUUAAUAUAUCCUGCAAGAGGUAGUGGUUGGAUGCCGAAAUUAUUAUCAAAAGAUCAAAGAAACAAUAUAACAGCUUUACAGUUUUACUCAUUUAAAAUUAGUGUUAGAGAUGAGUUUAGUCCAUUUCUUAAUUUAGGUAAAUUAAGCCAACAAUUUAUUGUUGAUGCUUUUGUAAAAAUUAAAGGUGCAAAAUUAUAUUUCAUAAAGAAACAACAACAUAUCUUGAGAACUGAAUUAUACUCUGGAUUAAUGGAUUAUUUACAUAAGAGAAAAGAAGAGAAGAAAAAUGUUCAAAUUGGUAAAAUGUUUAUAUUGACAUCUAGUUUUGCUGGAAGCCCUAGAGCAUUACAACAAACUUUUAGUGAUGCAAUUUGUUUAGUUCAAAAAUAUGGUAAACCUAAUUUGUUUAUAACUAUGACAUGUAAUCCUAAAUGGAAAGAAAUUACUGAUAAUAUUAAAAAAAUGAAGAUGUAAUAAAUAGGCCAGAUAUAGUUGCAACAGUAUUUAAACAGAAAGUAAAAGAAUUAUUUCAUGAAAUUACUGUGAAAGAAAUAUUUGGUACUUGUAUUGCUUACACAUAUGUAAUAGAAUUUCAGAAUAGAGGAUUACCGCAUAUUCACUUAUUACUAUAUUUACAUAUAGAUGACAAAAUAAGAACAACAGACGAUGUCGACAACUUUAUUUCAGCAGAAAUACCUGAUGAAAUAACUAAUCCACGUUUAUUUAAUUUAGUAAAGCAAUUUAUGAUUCAUGGACCAUGUGGAAAACAGAACUUAACAUCUCCUUGUUUGAACAUAAAUACAAACAAGUGCACUAAAAAUAAUAUUCUCAAAAAGCAGAAUUGCUGAUAAUAGUUUUGGUGUACCGUACAAUCCGUAUUUACUUUUAAGAAUGAAUGCAAUCAUUAAUGUUGAACCAAUAUGUUCAUCGUUACAUUCAAUUAAGUACCCAGUAAAAAAAAAUAAUUAGGAGUAAGCGAAAAGAAUUGGUGGUAACUUAAGCUGAAUGCGGUUUGGCGAAAAAACCGAAUUGGAACGUUACGGUGAAUUAUUUUUUUCUUACCGCGAAUUCUUUUCUCUUAAACAUUUGAAUUGACGUUUGUUUAUUCGAGUUUGCAUUAUAAAUGAAUAAGAAUAAAUGUUUCGAAGUCUAAAAAAGCCGAUUUGGAAUAAGAAAUAUAUAAUUUAAAAAAAAAGAAAUAAAAGUGAAAUGUGAUAGAUUUACCGACAAUUUUACCAUGUGAGUACUACUCAUAUGGUAAAUUUAUCAUAUGAACACUACUCACUUGAUAAAAUCGUCGGUCACUGUACGCGCGGACGAUGAACAAAGUAUUUUGCUCACCGUUAAGCGGUGGCCAAAACAUUUUGCUCAUCGUCCGCGCGCAGAAUGAGGGAGUCGGCCAUUUUGAAUAGCUGCAAGUAGCUGUCAAACGAGGUUAUGCCUGCACUUAUAAAGAAAAAUAUGGUUCGAUACUCGUUGCCUCACGAGCGUAUGCCCAUUACUCGUGUAAUGAGCAAAACGCUCGUUUGGCCCCUUGUAUCGAAAUAUACUAUUCUCAAAUUGUGUGUUUUUAAACUUACUUUUCAAAAAUAUUGAAUUUUUUUUAAACGAUAUUACUAUUAAAUUUUUCAGUUUUAAUGAUAAAAAGUCAUUUUUAGGGUUCCGUACCCGAAGGGGGAACCCUAUUAAUGAGACUAGUGAAGCAAGGCAUGUACCCCCCCCCCUAGCGGCCACACGAAUUUAUCUAGAUGGCUGCAAUUUGGUAUACAUAUGUAUUUUGGCGUGUAGAUUACAGGAAAAAUAUAGCGAAUCUCAUAGGAAUUAAUUAUCAUAGCGUUGUCAAGGAAAAACCAUGAAUUUUUACGAAAAAUCCCUAAAAAUGACUAUGUACCCCCCCCCCCUGGUUGCCACAUCUUUUUACAUAGAGAGCUCAAAUUUGGUACACUUACGUAUUUUUACGUGAAAAUUACAGGAAAAAUAUAGCGAACAUGAUUCGGAUUAAUUUACAUAGCGUUGUCAAGGAAAAAUCAAAAAUUAAAAAAAAAAGCGAUUAAUCCUCCUAGCGCACACAAUAUUUGACGAAGGCAGUUCAUAUAUUUGGUAUACUUACGUAUUUUUGCGUGUACAUUACAGGAAAAAUAUAGCGAGCACAAUUGGAGUUGAUGUUCAUAUUGUUUUUAAGGAAAACGAGACGCAUGCCUAAUCCCGCAUCUUGAUAUUGUCUACGCAUAACACCGUCUAAUUUAAAAAUGUAAACGCAGAAAUAGUUCAAAUUUAUUUUUGUCUAAUGUUAUUUAGGGAUAACUUUUAUUGUUUCAAAGAACAAUUUUGUAGAAAAUAUUUUCAUAGAAUAAUAUUUUCAUCGAUUUAUAAUUGACUAUAAUCAUAAAAUUUUCAAAUUUAUUUCUAUCGAAAAUUUAAAUAAUGUAACAUUUUUAUAAGCUACGGUGUAUAUUUUCUAAGAUUUAUUGAACCAAAUAAGAAUAUUUGCUAAUUUAAAAUUGUCCAAUUUAUAAUUAUAUAUAAUUUUUUGUAUCUACUUGUUAUUUAGUCAAUGUUAAAAUUCUCUAGAUGUAAGUUUAUCAAAAUUAUAAAAAUAAAAUUUAAUUUUGUCUACUUUUUUUUUAAUCUAAUCGUUACUUUGUAAAAUAUUUUAAUUUAUAAACGUAAAUUAACAAACAUUUCUUGAUAUCUAACCUCAAUUUGCACAACAGUAUUAUCGUAUAUCAUAAUAAUCUCGAAAAUAUUCUAGUGUCAGCUUUUUUUUGUCACAAAAUAAAAGAAGUCACUCUCUGGACAUGAGUUUCUCAUCCCUGUGAAUUUAUUUCUGUCGGUAAAAGUAGAUGUAGAGGGCUCUACUGAUUAUUUCUGAAAGGAAUUGAAAGCGCGACAAUGCCUUGGUAAUUUUCACCGUGAGAGGGUCUGUACUGUUUGUUACUUUUUUCUUAAUAAAUAGUUUUUGAUUUAUAACAGAUAUAAAAAAAUAUGUUUUCUGCAGUGAUUUUAUUAUACAAGGUCGAGGGUAAAUGCACGUGAGUUUUUAUUUUUGUUAUUUACUGUCAGGGCAAAAAUAAAAUAUCCGUAUUCACAAUUUUAUAGAUUCGUUUUAGCGAAACAUCAUGUGUAAUAUUCUUUUGACAAUGGAUAAAGUUACCAGCAAAACUAGUAGCCUAAAGGCUCUUUUACUGAGAGAGCUUGGCAUGAACGUUGAAGUGAUCUACAGUGGGGCAUAAAUAUUAAAACUAUUUUACCGCGAGGUGUAAGUGGCCAAGUUCUACAAUCUAGCAGACUGUAUACUUCAACAAGCUCUAGUUAGUCCGGGUCCAAAUCAUUUACCUCAAACAUUCGCUCAAUUCUCAGGUGAUUGCAAAUAUUUAUGAGUCUGCUGAUUUUCCUGGAAACGAUUCAUAUUGGGAUAACGUGCCGUGGAAAACCGGAGUAGGAUCUUCUUGCCCCAGCAAUAUUGUCGGUCGUGCAUUGGUUGUUGCAGUGUUACUUGCAAGCAUUGUCGAAAGCGCCACAAAAUAAUCCACUCAUCCCGCAAUCAUCUAAAUUGAUCGACAAACCUGCCAGUAUUCUCAAAGAAAUGCCCAAUUCCAAUUUCAUCUGCGCCAUGAUGUAUUUAGCCAAACACGACGACAAAGAAUUAUUUAUAUUAUCUGAAAGAUCUUUAUGGGGAGGUCGUUAAGAAAUGUCAGGAAAUCGAGGUGCAAUCACUGCUGGCCGUUCAGGGCUCAUUGAAUUCAAGCACAGAAACGGCAACUUUUGUCAGUCAAUUGCAAAUGGUGCAACGUCUGAAAAAUUACACGAACGCGCGACUUUAUUGCGAGCUUAUUCGCGCUAGUUUAAUGAGUUUACACAGGGUCACCGGAUCAUUCAGCGAGUCACACUGGUGAUGAAAAAUUCGAGUACUCGAUUCAAAAGCAAAAAGUGAGUCACUAAUUCAAAUUAGUAAACAUUUUUUUUAAUUCAGAUUUAGAGAGCACCAGUAAUUAAAACUUUUGUUCGUUAAAUUCAACAUCAA